UACGUAGGGAGCAAGCGUUAUCCGGAUUUACUGGGUGUAAAGGGCGCGCAGGCGGGCCGGUAAGUUGGAAGUGAAAUCUAGGGGCUUAACCCCUAAACUGCUUUCAAAACUGCUGGUCUUGAGUGAUGGAGAGGCAGGCGGAAUUCCGUGUGUAGCGGUGAAAUGCGUAGAUAUACGGAGGAACACCAGUGGCGAAGGCGGCCUGCUGGACAUUAACUGACGCUGAGGCGCGAAAGCGUGGGGAGCAAACAGG
Molecule: ribosomal RNA, 253 nt
Filed under: Agathobaculum desmolans
Lineage: Bacteria; Bacillati; Bacillota; Clostridia; Eubacteriales; Butyricicoccaceae
Description: partial 16S ribosomal RNA
Rfam family: Bacterial small subunit ribosomal RNA
Source: RNAcentral